GGGAUUCGCUAGCGGCGCCCUCUAGUGGCGUUUCGCGGAGCCUUGGCGGAAACCCUACUGGGAGCCGGUGUGUCCCCCAGUAACAUUUGCAAAUGAAAGAAGGUAAUUCCCUCUGCAGCCCCCCGACAAGUGACCUUGCUCUUUUCUCCUUGGCCAGUGGGAAGCAAACUCAGGAGCUCUGGCCUUAGGAGAUGGGAGGAAGACUAAAGCAGCAGUUCUCAAAGUGUGAUCCGGGAGACCCUGCAGAUCCCAAGAUCCUUUCUAGAGUUUCGGUGGGAGAACUAGUUUUAGAAUUAUAGACGUCAUUUGCCUUUUAAACUCACAAUGGAAUUUUCCAGAGGCGACCUGAUGUCUAAUGAUGACACUGCUCUUAUGACCAAAGGAAUGUGAGCUCGUAUAUUCUUUUAGAAUUUCCUAAGUGAAUCCAGGAAAAUAGAGGAUGCUUCAAAGAAGGAAACGCGAGAGUACCCUGCACCCAAACAGCCUCUGGCCUGAGGAACAAGGAACAGACCAAUGUUCUGGCCCUGGUGCAAGUGAAUGUUUGGCAUAGUCUGCUGGCAACAACAGAAGUUAUUACCUGAAAACUCAUUCUGAAGGUGGAGGAUGUUGGGGGAGUGCUCUUGACAGUUCCAGUCUCCUCAACCUCUUCCUCUUCGUAAGCCUUUCUCCUCUGCUUUGCAUCCCUGUCCCCAAUCACAAGAAUAGGACUGAUAAGUAGAGCUCUGCAAUAUGGGUUAUGAACACCUGCAGUUUAAGACAAGUAAACAAUUGAUGGCAGCAGUGGCCUGUCUGGAGCGGCUACUGUGAAGAUGCCAGCUGUAGUGUGGGAGGCACGGUGGGGGCUGCGUGCUCCGUGGAGCUGGCCGGAGCCCCACCCUCUUCUGAGUUGGCCGGGUGGGAGCCCCACGCUUUCCGGCACAGCUGCAACCACCCAGCCACAGCUGCAGACCUGGACAUCCCUGUGCUCUCGGGGGCUGGGAAGACCCCCUGACCCGCAGGCUUGGAAGUGCCUGCUCCUGCUGCCUGGCCUCUCCUUGCUCCUGGAGCCCACUCUGGGGUGGAGCAAAGUUGUGGCUGAGGCCAAGCGCUGUCUAGACCCAGCUGGGUGUGCGUGCGCCUGGGGCGCCGCUGACAUGCCAGCCCCCUGCCACCCUGGCCCCCUCUAGGCUUUGGGCACUGAGAAGCACAGGAGAGAGGCUGGCGGCGUGGGGUGGGGGAGCUGAGGGCACUCGGUGCGGGCUGCCGGUACUCCUCUGCAGGAACAGCCUGGGCGCUGUGGAUGACAUGAUUGAUGGUGGCAGGAGGCAGACAGGCUCCUGGGCGGAAAGAGGUGGGUCCCCGGUAAAGCCCCACCAUCAAGCCAGGGAGGCCUGAAGCCCAGGGGCUAGGCUGUCAGUCCCGGGUGAAGUCUGUGGCCCGGAGUGAGAACUUAUGGUGAUUUUUCCGGGUCAGCCCAUGGCCACCCAUGGGCCAAUCAGCAUGCACUUCCUCCCUUCUGAGCCUAGCCAGACUCACACAGACGCUGGGACUACCAGCUGUGGGAAGGAGCUACCCAAUUCAGGUCUCCUCGACUCAUCAAGACAACCUGCCUGAAGAAGGGAGCUACCCACUCUGGGUCUCUUCUCCACUGAGAGCUGGACACUUACUGGGACAACCUGCCUGCGGAAAGGAGCUACCCACUUCAAGUUUCCCGAGAGCUGUUCUGUCACUCGAUAAGGCUCCUCUCCGCCUUGCUCACCCUCUAGUUGUCCGCGUACCUCAUUCUUCCUGGAUGUGGGACGAGAACUCAGGACCCACUGAAUGGCGGGACUGAAAGAGCAGUAACACAAACAGGGCUGAAACACGCCCUCCUCCCGUCCCCACACCCCCGCGACUUGCCAUGUUGCGGGUGAUGUGAAGGAGAGAAGUGCUGUGGCCCUUCAGGGAGCACAGACCUAGGGGCUCCCUGAGCCAGGGCUGUGACACCCUCUUUGGGGCUCUGCGGUUUCUGGUAUCUUCAAACUUCCGGGCACCACUGCAUUCCCCUUGUCCAGACACAGGUGCCCACAGCAGAAGCCGCUUGUGGUUCAUCAGAUCCAGCUGCAGACUUGCAUAGAACCGGCACCUUUGCCGGCGCCUGGAGCUGCCUGCCCAGCUGCAGCAGCUGGUGUGUCCGGCUCUGCGCAGUGGCCAGACCCUGCGUUCGCUCGCCUGCACACCCCUCGCUGUUCCGUGCCUGGCUCACCCUCGGCAGGCGUGGAAUCCUGGCUGGUAGCAUGAGCUGAGCACAGCCUGCCAGGCCACGUCAGUGGAACAAGUCUGGCGGGCCUGAUCAAAACUCAGGCAAAGGCACCACUGGUCACAGAGCUUUCUAGCUGGAAAAGCAACACCUGAAGGAUCCCGUGACACAAUCAACCUGCUAGGAGAUCCCUGCCACCCUGAGAGGCUGCAGGAAGCUGCCUCCAUCCAGGCCUCUUCACAGAAGGAGAAUUGCAGAGACCGUAGGAUUUUUCUACUCACAGGAACAGAUGGUGUCCGGUCAGGAAGGUAAAAUGCUUCAAGAAAAGUGCAAUAGGGAUUAUAAUACUGAUGAUCUGAGACUCUGAUAAUGACUCUGAGAUGAUUCCCAAUUCUAUGAUGAAUCAUCUCAGAAUGACUCCGAGAUGAUGAUUCCUGAUUCUACGAUGAUUGAGGCAGAGCUCACUGGUUGGUGAAUCUAGUUGGUAGAGCUGAGGCACCGCAAUACCAUCAUUUCUUUCUGAGGAAAUCUAAAGAUGAAAGAAUUCAUCACUAAAACUGUACUACGAGAAAUGCUAAAGGAAGUUGUUCAAACUGAUGGAAAAUUAUACCAGAUGGACACUUGAAUUUGCCCAAAGGAAUGAAGAGCACCAGAAAUGGCAAAUGUGUGGGGCUUCAUUUACCAUCAUUAUCCUGGGGCUUUUGGAAUGCCUGAUCCACAGGCCUGGAUUCUCACACAAGAUGGCAUCUGAGGAGACCUGCUUCAUCAUGAAGGAGGUGUGGGAGCAGGUCCUGACCAGUAGGAUUCAUCGUUCAUAUCAUAUACCACAGCAUUCACAAGUAGCCAUCCUAACAGAGCAUCUGAAUGAUCUGCUGAAGGUGUAAUUGAAGUGCCAACUUGGAGACAAGACUCUGCAAGCAUGGGGUACCAUCUUCCAGGAUGAAAUAUAGGCACUGUAUUCAUGUUCUAUUGCUAGGUAACAAAUUAACACAAAUUUAGUGGCAUAAACAACACAUGUUUAUUACCUUACAGUUUCUGUGGGUCAAGAGUCUGGGCAUAGCUUAGCCGAGUCCUCUGUUCAGGGUCUCCAAGGCUGGAAUCGAUGUGUCAGCUGGGGCUGGGGUCUCUCUUCUAAGUUCACUUGGUUGUUGGCAGAAUUCAUUUUCUUGCAGUUGUAUAACUUCUUUUUUCUUCAAGGCCAGCAAGAGAAUUCUUUUUUUUUUUUUUUUUUUUUUUUGAGACAGAGUCUCACUCUGUCGCCCAGUCUGGAGUGCAGUGGUAUGAUUUCGGCUCACUGCAACCUCUGCCUCCCGAGUUCAAGUGAUUCUCAUGCCUCAGCUUCCCGAGUGGCUGGGACUACAGGCGGGUGCCACCAUGCCUGGCUAAUUUUUGUAUUUUUAGUAGAGACGGGGUUUCGCCACUUUGGCCUGGCUACUCUUGAACUCCUGGCCUCAAGUGAUCCGCCUGCCUCAGCCUCCCAAAGUGCUGCGAUUACAGGCUUGAGCCACCGCACCCGGCCUCCAAUUACUAUCAUUUCUAAUGGCCCACAGGGGCACUCAUGUUUCCUGAAUUUGCAACUGUGGGCUCUGCAGAGUUCAAGGUUCUGUUCUGCAAAGGGGCACAUUCUUGCCAGUGGACACAAGUGUGGGUAUGGCCAGGCCUUUGGACUUCUUGUGGCCAAGGAGUCAGCACCUUGGCAGGGAUACUUGCUCUCAAUCAGCAGGAAGAGGCUGCUGUUGUACAACGUGGCAGAGAGGAAUGUGUGUGAAACUUGGGUGAUCAAUCUAGUUGGGCACUUCUUGGUAUUCCCUUGCCUGGUUGUGACUGCGAAUGGACAAGUGCAGCAACUCUGGUGUGAAAUGGAUAUGAUUACCAGGGGCUCAGAUCUCACAGGAAUGAGGGUUUGGGUUACACCAUUGGGAAAGCUAGAGGUGAGGGGAAUUUAGAAUACAUGGUAGAGGAAAGACAGGAUGAGAACCAGCUGUGACUCCAAUACCAACUGUAGUGACAGGGACUGUAGUUAGUCCUACUAACCUACCUCUUCUAAGUUUCCCUUCAGGAAGAGAGACCCAUGGGAACCAUGGAGGAGUUCCCUGAAUGUGUAUGGGGAAAUCGAUCUGUGCAGUGCAGGGGGUGACCCGUGGUAGCCAUGGAGGUGUCCCACUCAGAUCUCCCUACAGCAGACCUGCCACAAGGGGUGGAGUUAGCGGACAGCUGUCAAGAUCUGCCUCAGCUUUCAAGCUGAGGCUACAUGCUUCCCAGACAGCCUCUAAGCAAAGGCCAGGCACUGCCAUGGUACAAGGGCUCACCAUUUCUGGCCAGUAUGGGACUCUUCGGGAGGGCAAUCUUUGCACCAGCACUCCCUGUUUUGCAGGCCUAGGCUUUCUCAGAGCUGCACUGCAGUCCAAGGCUCCUCCUACCCAAAUAUCUUUCCUGGCCCCUCUCCUUUCUCAGGUUUUAGUCCUACAUCACGAACUAAAGGUGUUCCUUGUCUGGUCCUGUUCCCUCUCCCUUUUAUGUUUUAUAGGCGUUGCCCCUAAUAAACCUUUUGUAUAUCUGA
Molecule: long non-coding RNA, 4778 nt
Organism: Homo sapiens (human)
Lineage: Eukaryota; Metazoa; Chordata; Mammalia; Primates; Hominidae
Gene: SAT1-DT
Product: SAT1 divergent transcript
Exons: 5
Source: RefSeq, marked validated